Molecule: long non-coding RNA, 241 nt
Organism: Ipomoea nil (Japanese morning glory)
Lineage: Eukaryota; Viridiplantae; Streptophyta; Magnoliopsida; Solanales; Convolvulaceae
Exons: 3
Source: RefSeq, a predicted model, not a curated record
CUUGCUCUUUUCUCAUUUCCUUUUAAACCUAUGAAUCCCCUCAAGCUAAAGGCACUCCCAACUCCGAGUGUAUGCCAUACUUGGAGCCUAUUAAGACCCCCCACUCAUAUCUCAAACCAGAAUGGGCUUCCAAGGCUUUAAAGCUACCUAAGAAUCUCUUCUAAAGCAACUUUUGCCUCAAAAUUAAGACAUGUACUACACUAAGGGUCGGGAGCUCUCAAAAUCAAGUGUAGAUGGAUCU